Molecule: long non-coding RNA, 889 nt
Organism: Acanthochromis polyacanthus (spiny chromis)
Lineage: Eukaryota; Metazoa; Chordata; Actinopteri; Pomacentridae
Exons: 4
Source: RefSeq, a predicted model, not a curated record
CGGAUGGUUUCUCCCUCCUAGCCACUGUGUGGCACUGCGUUAUUUCAAUCGUCGCUGUGACAGCAGGGCGGCAUCCGGCGCCGCUGCAUAUAUAUAUAUACACAAGUGGGUGGCUUUACCUCAGUCUCAUGCUUUCUCUUGAGCUCUCCCUGUGGCGGUGACUGCAGCCAAGCGGGCUGGAUCUGGUGUGACCGAUCGGGGCGUACAUAAUAUCGCUGGUACAGUGACGCUGGGAGACAGGUCGCUCCGUUCAGCGUGCCGUGGGUGCUUCUGUGACGACAGGUCUAUUUGCUGCUGUUUUUGUUGGAUCUCCUCCGCCUGCAUUGCUGCUACGCUGCGCCACGGCUAACCGGACCUGUCCAGGGUGUCCCCUGCCUUCGCCCGAGUCAGCUGGGAUAGGCUCCAGCACCCCCCCCGCGACCCUAGUGAGGAUAAAGCGGUGUAUAGAGGAUGGAUGGAUGGAUGUUUACCUUUACGAGGUUGCAGCUAAACGUGUGGUUCAUUGGACGCCACCGCUUCCCUGGACUGGCUGCUGUUUCAGCUCUUUUGUGACGUCUCUCUUUUUGGUGCCUAUAACUCUUUGCUGUGGCUCUCUGUUUCGGCUCUUUCUUUUGUUACGGCUCUCUUUUUAGUGUCUACAACUUACUGUUUCGACUGUGUUGGCGUGUAUUUUCUGUAGGCUUAUCGCCAACGUGUUAGAUUUUACUGCAUUGUACUCCUGACGUUAAAAACCUCAGGCUAUGAGGAUUAUGAUGUCUUAUAUUGUACCUGUGUUUUAAAUGCUGUUGUGUGGAGUGAAUGAGUGUGUGUGUGUUUUAAUAGUGUAUAUUGGCUUGCCUCUUAUAUUUAAUAAUAUAAUUAAAUAAAGAAAUUGUUAUAUUUUUGGAAA